AGAGAGGAGCUUGCUCUUCUUGGAUGAGUUGCGAACGGGUGAGUAACGCGUAGGUAACCUGCCUUGUAGCGGGGGAUAACUAUUGGAAACGAUAGCUAAUACCGCAUAACAAUGGAUGACACAUGUCAUUUAUUUGAAAGGGGCAAUUGCUCCACUACAAGAUGGACCUGCGUUGUAUUAGCUAGUAGGUGAGGUAAUGGCUCACCUAGGCGACGAUACAUAGCCGACCUGAGAGGGUGAUCGGCCACACUGGGACUGAGACACGGCCCAGACUCCUACGGGAGGCAGCAGUAGGGAAUCUUCGGCAAUGGGGGCAACCCUGACCGAGCAACGCCGCGUGAGUGAAGAAGGUUUUCGGAUCGUAAAGCUCUGUUGUAAGUCAAGAACGGGUGUGAGAGUGGAAAGUUCACACUGUGACGGUAGCUUACCAGAAAGGGACGGCUAACUACGUGCCAGCAGCCGCGGUAAUACGUAGGUCCCGAGCGUUGUCCGGAUUUAUUGGGCGUAAAGCGAGCGCAGGCGGUUUGAUAAGUCUGAAGUUAAAGGCUGUGGCUCAACCAUAGUUCGCUUUGGAAACUGUCAAACUUGAGUGCAGAAGGGGAGAGUGGAAUUCCAUGUGUAGCGGUGAAAUGCGUAGAUAUAUGGAGGAACACCGGUGGCGAAAGCGGCUCUCUGGUCUGUAACUGACGCUGAGGCUCGAAAGCGUGGGGAGCGAACAGGAUUAGAUACCCUGGUAGUCCACGCCGUAAACGAUGAGUGCUAGGUGUUGGAUCCUUUCCGGGAUUCAGUGCCGCAGCUAACGCAUUAAGCACUCCGCCUGGGGAGUACGACCGCAAGGUUGAAACUCAAAGGAAUUGACGGGGGCCCGCACAAGCGGUGGAGCAUGUGGUUUAAUUCGAAGCAACGCGAAGAACCUUACCAGGUCUUGACAUCCCGAUGCUAUUUCUAGAGAUAGAAAGUUACUUCGGUACAUCGGUGACAGGUGGUGCAUGGUUGUCGUCAGCUCGUGUCGUGAGAUGUUGGGUUAAGUCCCGCAACGAGCGCAACCCCUAUUGUUAGUUGCCAUCAUUCAGUUGGGCACUCUAGCGAGACUGCCGGUAAUAAACCGGAGGAAGGUGGGGAUGACGUCAAAUCAUCAUGCCCCUUAUGACCUGGGCUACACACGUGCUACAAUGGUUGGUACAACGAGUUGCGAGUCGGUGACGGCGAGCUAAUCUCUUAAAGCCAAUCUCAGUUCGGAUUGUAGGCUGCAACUCGCCUACAUGAAGUCGGAAUCGCUAGUAAUCGCGGAUCAGCACGCCGCGGUGAAUACGUUCCCGGGCCUUGUACACACCGCCCGUCACACCACGAGAGUUUGUAAC
Molecule: ribosomal RNA, 1361 nt
Filed under: Streptococcus thermophilus
Lineage: Bacteria; Bacillati; Bacillota; Bacilli; Lactobacillales; Streptococcaceae
Description: bacterial SSU rRNA
Rfam family: Bacterial small subunit ribosomal RNA
Source: RNAcentral